Vulpes vulpes (red fox) is the source of this 205-nucleotide small nucleolar RNA. Lineage: Eukaryota; Metazoa; Chordata; Mammalia; Carnivora; Canidae. The record is from Ensembl.
AAGACUAUACUUUCAGGAGUCAUUUCUAUAGUCUGUUACUAGUGAAGUUUCUUUGAACGUGUAGAGUAACCGAAACCACAAGGAGAUGCAGUGUCCCUUCCUGAGAGUGAAGCUGACUCUGGAUGUUUCUCCAGCUGCCCUUUGCAUUGAUGAUCAUUCUCCUCCUUUGGGGGAGUAGGAGAGAAGAGACACCCUUUGAGUGGUU